UACGUAGGGUGCAAGCGUUAAUCGGAAUUACUGGGCGUAAAGGGCUCGUAGGUGGCCAACUAAGUCAGACGUGAAAUCCCUCGGCUUAACCGGGGAACUGCGUCUGAUACUGGAUGGCUUGAGUUUGGGAGAGGGAUGCGGAAUUCCAGGUGUAGCGGUGAAAUGCGUAGAUAUCUGGAGGAACACCGGUGGCGAAGGCGGCAUCCUGGACCAACACUGACACUGAGGAGCGAAAGCCAGGGGAGCAAACGGG
RNAcentral lists this ribosomal RNA (253 nucleotides) under uncultured bacterium. Its description in RNAcentral is "partial 16S ribosomal RNA". It matches the Rfam family "Bacterial small subunit ribosomal RNA", at positions 524 to 776 of the family's 1533-position model. The record is from RNAcentral.